UAUCCAAUCCAUUUGACCAAUUUAUUCAUUUUUAGGACAAUACAAUCAAUUUUGAAUAAAUCAUCAAUUCCAUUCAAUUCAUUAUUCAUUUAAUCAAUUUUAUUUUUUUGAAUAAAUUCUCAAUUUCAUCCAAUCCAUUGGAUCGGUUUUAUUCACUUUCAGGAUAAUCCAGUCAAUUUUUGAACUAACCAUCAAUUUCAUUCGAUUCAUUUAACCUAUUUAUUCUCUUUUAAAGUUUCGAUCUAUGGUUCACCGAAGAAAUUAGUCGAGACAUUUCAAUCCUUUCAAAAGUAAGUUUUAUACACUAAAUUGAUUUUGAUAUCAUUUUAUGUGUCAAUCAAAGCAAUCAAUCCAUUCGGACUUUGUCCUCAUUUUGUUAGGACAAAUUAUCUCUUGUUACUCCAAUUAUCCAGUCUUUUCAAAAUUGUCUUUUCAUUGAAUCUCAAUAAGUCGAUCGGAUCCAUCAGGUAUUGUAUG
This 477-nucleotide long non-coding RNA is filed under the name Coffea arabica (coffee). RNAcentral describes it as "long non-coding RNA (CARA_LNC006815)". Lineage: Eukaryota; Viridiplantae; Streptophyta; Magnoliopsida; Gentianales; Rubiaceae. The record is from RNAcentral.